AUUAAGACGAAUGCAUUAGUAAUACUGAAUUCAUACACGACGGAGAACCAGAGUUUUCAGUAGUUUUCGGUAGUUUUCGUAAAAGGUUAAUAUUUAUAACGGUGUUGUAUUAUAUAUCUACCAGAUGAAUUACUCUACCGCGUCGUUUCGAACGUAUUUUCCACUGUUCUUAUUCAGGAGUUUCCUCUGGCGAGACUGCAGAGCCCUAGCCUAGUACUGGUGAAACCCAGGAAGCAUAAUUAAGUGAAUCUUUGCCUUAAUAUAUGAGCUAACAGCAAAGAGCAGCUGCUCUUUUAAGGCAGGCAGCAGAAUUAUUAAAUGUCAACACAAGUGACAGGAGUACACAAUACCAGCACCUGCAUCAGUAACCUCUGUCAGAAGCACUAGUGCUGCAAAGGCAAUUUUUGCUCCCGACAGUAAAAGAAGAAGGCAUGGACAUGCAAAUACAGGAACUGUGGCAGUGCCAGCACUAGACUAUUAUA
Long non-coding RNA from Dreissena polymorpha, 482 nucleotides. RefSeq lists it as uncharacterized. The record is from RefSeq and is a predicted model, not a curated record. The transcript has 3 exons. NCBI's taxonomy places the organism in Eukaryota, Metazoa, Mollusca, Bivalvia, Myida, Dreissenidae.